RNAcentral lists this long non-coding RNA (3797 nucleotides) under Xyrichtys novacula (pearly razorfish). The record is from RNAcentral. Lineage: Eukaryota; Metazoa; Chordata; Actinopteri; Labriformes; Labridae.
GGAGUAGAAAACCGUAAACUCCUGUUGCGUCUUUGCCGUUCUUUCAGGUUUCUGAGAGGAAUCUUCUGAAAGCUAAGUCUGUAAUGGCACAAACACCUACCCACAGCAGGGGGAGGAUGUCUAAUCCAGGAGAAACCAGGUCAACAGCCCUUUCAACAACUUCCACCUGACUCCCACCGCUAUCAACAUACUUCAGGACAAGAGUUGAAACAUGUUCAAGGACUUCAUCCAAGUCCGGCCACAAUUUCUGAUUAAGCUUUGAAGUACCAUGACCUGCAUGACUGAGAACCUUCACAGGUGUCACUCAGCUCUGGGUUACACUCUGACCAUGGCUGCAUUUACUGCGUUUUGUGCACAGACUCACAGGGUCAUGCAUUGGAGCAUGCAUAGCUAAGAAAAAACGACUUCCUUUCCGAGGGUCGAAUACUUAACACAGCCAUGCCUUUAGACUUGACUGCAAGAUUUUAUGAGUUUUUCAUCGUUCAGGUGUCUUCUAUCUGUAAACCUGCAUGUAAGUAGAUCAGAUGAAUACUGUAGAAGAAACUUACCAAAAGUCCCAUGAAAACAGCCUAAAAAAAGCUGAUUUCUGCCUGUUUUUUGCAUAAUACCCAACUUCUUGUCUACAUUUCACCAUAGUUAGAAUUUACAUAACUGUAAAGUUUCAUGAGUUUUUGGCAUGUUCAGGGCUGAAAAAAAAGACUGAUUGAAAAAAAUAAUAAACUGUCUUGGGAUCUGAGUAGAGUCCUCACCCUCCAGUGCCAAGGGGCUGAAUAAAGCUUCAAGCAGCACUGAGCGAAGGUUUGAACUUGAGUGGUUUGGGUUAGGGCCUGAGAGCGGGCUAGGCAAUCAGUUUUCAAAAUAUUCAAAGGUUGGGUUUAGAUCUAAAGAUUUACAGAGAGUGAGGAUUAAGAAUAAAAAGUUCAGGGACCAUUAGGAAUAGGUUGAAGGGGGCUAGGUUUGGGGUGGGAUGGGGGGAGUUUUAGGCCAGGGCUAGUCUUGUGCUUGUGGUCAGAGUCAUGUUAGGCUUACCCCGGAUUUCCACCGUAUCUGGAACGGCUCCGAUCCAGAACAGCAGCGAUUUUCGCCAUCUGCCAAUUCCUACCAGAUUCGUUUGUGAGGUGAAUUUCGUGGUGGUGGAUUACAGACGGCGGUAAUCACGAGAACUCACAAGAACCUGUGGAUUCACAUGCAAUCGUGCGAUAACAAGUUGUCUCUAUAAAGACAGCUACAUAGGUUUACCAUAUAAGCAGUAGAUUGUGUCCUUCCAGAGGGAGGAAAUCUACUUCUAAACUUAUAAAAUCAGCAUCUCAUCCAUGGUGUCUUUGGGAUGAAAUGCUGUCUAAAAACGUUUCACUCGUCCCCGCCUGUUUGCGUAGUGUGAAAUAUGAUCCGCCUGAAACACGGAGUGUUUUAUUUUGAAAGGAGGUGGAUGUUUUAUUUUGUGUCUGUGCUCGACUUCCUUGUCAGCACAGGUUAAUCUAACCUGUGAAUUAAUCUGGCAUCCUCCGACGUCCGGAAAAAUCAGCUGUGGAGUCCGGUGAUCUGCAGCGGAAUGGAAAGAAACCGGUGGAAAUUGACACAGUAACUUGAAUGGUUACCAUCAACUGCUAUCGGCGGAUACGGCCUUUUCGUAGCCAAUCUGGAUGUGGGCAAGGGUUAAAAGGAGCUUAGAGAGAGUGUUUGCAUAAAGACUAGGUCCAGGCUCAGGGUUAGGGUUGUCUAGAAAAUCACCAAAAAAAGGAUCAAGUUUGUCAUCUACCCAAACUACUGGUUUUUUUUUUUCUGUUGGAUUCAAGGUAUGGUUUGCUUGUCUUGUUCUCUUCAUUCUUUAGGAGUUUGAUUCUGCUGAACUCUGGCAGUGAAAUGAAAAGUUUACACUGAAUAUUUUAAGAGCAAAUUGUAGAAACAGGUCUGUUUCUUUGGCGGCUCGACUGACACCUACCCUCUCACAUCAGUUUCCAAGCAUUAAAAAUUAGGGUGUAGAAAUCUGUGAUCUUGUUGCUGAUGGUAUUCUCCAAUUGUUGUUAUACAAAGGCAGCAAUAUAAAAAGGCAGACUGUUUCUUUAGGUUAAAAAAACUCAUUAUAGGAGCUUUAAGCUGCUUUAAGACUCUGAAAGAAGAGCAGAGUUGAUCUGACUGAGCUGAAAAACAAUCACACUCGCCAAAAACAUGUUUCAGCUCAAUGUUUCUCUGCAAGGAGAUAACUGCAACAAACACAAGUAAGAAAAUGUAAAAGAAACAGCUUUAAAAUGAUAGAGUAAGAAAGAAAGAAAGAAGAAAGAGUUAAAGCAGAAGUAAAUUCAGAAAACUCUCUCUCUCUCUUUUCUGUGACAAAGAGCCGAAGGACAAACUCACAGAGUCUGAGAGCAGACUGAAUAACAACGCUUUCAAACUGUUUGUGCUCAGCCUGCAUCUGAACGCCCCCUCACUUAGAUACCUGUCUCCUGGGAAACCGGUGCGCACACACACACACACGCACUGGAAAGCUAAGGAGCAAAAAAAAGAGAAAGAGAUGUGGGGCAAUUCAACUGUAUUGAGUUGAAACAGACACAGACACACACACAACUACACACACAUAUACACACAGAGCUCAGCCUCCUCUCUGCAAUGUAGCCUAAGCCAAUGAAAAGCCUCUGGUAGUGUGAUGCUGGCCAAUCAGAACGCAGCAUGCAGACACUCCCACAGGAGGGUGUGUAAAGUACUGCUGAGGUAGGAUGGAGAGUGAGGGAGUGUGUAAGGAUGUGUGGAGUGCUUUCUGCGUGGGUGUGCAUAUGUGUGUGUUUGUGCGUUUGUAUAUGUGUGUGUGGGGGGACUCCCAGCAGGUUCUGAUGUUAUGCUGAUGUUGGUCCUUUGGGGGGAACAGAGGCGGCCGAAGUCCUGACUGCUGCUCUCACCAUGAAACAAGAAAACACACACACACACACACACACACAAAUAGGCAGUUCAUGUCAGCAAAGAUUUAAUUACACUUGCACACACAGGAAUUCAAAAGCCACACACGCACACACACACACACACACAGACACACACACACCUCUGGCAGCUCUGUGAGGGCAGAGUGGUGAACGGUCAGCGGUGGAAAAUGUGUCUCCUGUGGUCAGCAGAGGAAGCUGAACUUUCCUCCAUUUUACCAUGAGCAGCAGCUUCAUUACUGAGCUGCCAAAAUGGAGGCCUGAUGGAGUCCACUGCUGAUUAAAGGGGCAGUCCACACAAACUGAUCCCAGUUGUUUGAAAAGACAGGACAGUGGACAUACCAGGGAACAGGUAGAGCGAGUAGGGGACACCAUGCAGGAAAGGAGCCACAGGUCACAGUAGGUGUGUUCCUGCUCUCUUCAUUGAUAGUAACACAGCUGUACUUGUAACAGUGCUCAUCAGUAAUCCAGCCUUGUCCUGUAGCUAAAUCAAUCAGUCUAAAAGUCUACUGCAGGAUCUAAUUGUGCAACAGCAGAAGAAAGAGAAGUGAAACAACUGAGGGAUUACACCUCAGUUACUUUUGACAGCUUUUGCUUGAACCACAAACAAGGAAUUUCUCCCACUGGCUGCUUAUAUGUGAUGCUCACAAUAAAACACUCCAGUAUCAAUGUACAUGUGCAGUGAUAUCCUAAAACUAGUUUCAUAUCUGAUUUUUAAGGAAUAUUCCAGCGUCAAAUUAAUUUAGGGUCAAACACACCAUAACACUGAGUUAGACACCCCGUCGAGAGAUAAAUGUUGCCGACCACUUGCAUCUCUAGAUAUACCAACUUUAGUAACGACUGCAGAUAGCAGUACAGAGAGCCACGUGCUCAACCAAAACGCCA